CAGCUCGGGACUGGAGGUGGAUGGGUGAUGGGGGGGGGCACGGGGACAAGGGACAGGGCAGGGUGGGGUGAGAGGGGAUGGAAUGGUGGCAGGAUGGGACAGGGGUGGGAGAGGACAAGGGCAGGACAGGGGGACAGUGGUGAGAUGGGCUAGUGGCUGGAUGGGAUGAUGGUGGGAUGGGGUGGACAGCGGUGGUGGGAUGAGAUGGUGGCUGGAUGGGAUUGUGGUGGGAUGGGAUUGUGGUGGGGUGAUGGUGAUGAUGGGACAGGAUGGGUGGUGCUGGGCUGAGCUAGGCCAGUGACAAGACACAACAGUGACACGAUGGUGUGGUGGACUGGGAUGAGCGGUGGGAUGAGCUGAUGGGAUGGUGGUGGGAUGGGAUGGUGGCUGGAUGAGAUGGUGCAGCGGGAUGGGAUGGUGGUGGGAUGGGAUGACAAUGGUGGGAUGGGAUGACAGUGGUGGGAUGGGAUGGUGGCUGGAUGGGAUGGGAUGACAACAGUGAGAUGGGAUGGUGGCAGGAUGACAAUGGUGGGGUGGGGUGGGGGGGGGGCAAGACACAACAGUGACACGAUGGUGUGGUGGACUGGGAUGAGCGGUGGGAUGGGAUGGGAUGACAAUGGUGGGAUGGGAUGGUGGCUGGAUGAGAUGACAGUGGUGGGAUGGGAUGCUUGCUGGAUGAGAUGGUGCAGUGGGAUGGGAUGGUGGUGGGAUGGGAUGACAAUGGUGGGAUGGGAUGGAGGCUGGGUGGGAUGACAAUGGUGGGAUGGGAUGACAGUGGUGGGAUGGGAUGGUGGCUGGAUGGGACAGGACAGUGGCAAAAGGAUGGUGGUGGGUUCAGCUGACAGUGGUGGGGUGGGACAGUGGUAGGACAGCCUGGUGUGGUGGUGGGAAGGGAUGGAGACGGCACGGAGGGGCACCCACCGUCCCACCACCCCUACACCCUUGUGGGUCACCCCAACUCCCCCGACACCCCCAGGACCAGAGGAGACCCCCCACCACCACUCACUUGACGUUGAAGACCAUCAGCGGCCGCUCCUCCCGCUUCUGCCAGGGGCUUUUCCGGUCGCCCCCAUCGUCCCCCCCCUCGCCCCCCUCGGCCAACGCCUCCUCCUCGGGGCUGGUCAGGGAGUCCCGGGGGGCUUCGCUGGCGCUGCU
RNAcentral lists this long non-coding RNA (1155 nucleotides) under Calidris pugnax (ruff). Its description in RNAcentral is "lncRNA (ENSCPUG00000001394.1)". Lineage: Eukaryota; Metazoa; Chordata; Aves; Charadriiformes; Scolopacidae. The record is from RNAcentral.